CGUUAUGAAGCUAAACUAGCAUUAACCUUUUAAGUUAAAGAGUGAGAGCCCGACUCUCCAUGACGA
This 66-nucleotide transfer RNA is filed under the name Thrichomys apereoides (common punare). RNAcentral's name for it is "tRNA-Lys". It matches the Rfam family "tRNA". Rfam says of the family: Transfer RNA (tRNA) molecules are approximately 80 nucleotides in length. Lineage: Eukaryota; Metazoa; Chordata; Mammalia; Rodentia; Echimyidae. The record is from RNAcentral.